RNAcentral lists this ribosomal RNA (525 nucleotides) under uncultured eukaryote. RNAcentral's name for it is "SSU rRNA". It matches the Rfam family "Eukaryotic small subunit ribosomal RNA", at positions 21 to 549 of the family's 1831-position model. The record is from RNAcentral.
UAGUCAUAUGCUUGUCUCAAAGAUUAAGCCAUGCAUGUCUAAGUAUAAGCAACUUGUACUGUGAAACUGCGAAUGGCUCAUUAAAUCAGUUAUCGUUUAUUUGAUAGUACCUUACUACAUGGAUACCUGUGGUAAUUCUAGAGCUAAUACAUGCUAAAAACCCCGACUCACGAAGGGGUGUAUUUAUUAGAUAAAAAACCAACGCCCUUCGGGGCUCCUUGGUGAAUCAUAAUAACUUAACGAAUCGCAUGGCCUUGCGCCGGCGAUGGUUCAUUCAAAUUUCUGCCCUAUCAACUUUCGAUGGUAGGAUAGUGGCCUACCAUGGUGGCAACGGGUAACGGGGAAUUAGGGUUCGAUUCCGGAGAGGGAGCCUGAGAAACGGCUACCACAUCCAAGGAAGGCAGCAGGCGCGCAAAUUACCCAAUCCCGAUACGGGGAGGUAGUGACAAUAAAUACUGAUACGGGGCUCUUUUGGGUCUCGUAAUUGGAAUGAGAACAAUUUAAAUCCCUUAACGAGGAACAAUU